GACGAACGCUGGCGGCGUGCUUAACACAUGCAAGUCGAACGGAAAGGCCCGGCUUUUGGGGGGUGCUCGAGUGGCGAACGGGUGAGUAACACGUGAGUAACCUGCCCUUGACUUGGGGAUAACUUCAGGAAACUGGGGCUAAUACCGGAGAGGAGCUCCUGCGGCAGGGUGGGGGGUGGAAAGGUUCGGCGGUUGGGGAUGGACUCGCGGCUUAUCAGCGUGUUGGUGGGGUAGUGGCUUACCAAGGCUUUGACGGGUAGCCGGCCUGAGAGGGUGACCGGCCACAUUGGGACUGAGAUACGGCCCAGACUCCUACGGGAGGCAGCAGUGGGGAAUAUUGCACAAUGGGCGGAAGCCUGAUGCAGCAGCGCCGCGUGCGGGAUGACGGCCUUCGGGUUGUAAACCGCUUUCGCCUGUGACGAAGCGUGAGUGACGGUAAUGGGUAAAGAAGCACCGGCUAACUACGUG
RNAcentral lists this ribosomal RNA (468 nucleotides) under uncultured bacterium. Its description in RNAcentral is "partial 16S ribosomal RNA". It matches the Rfam family "Bacterial small subunit ribosomal RNA", at positions 28 to 507 of the family's 1533-position model. The record is from RNAcentral.